GAAGCUAGAGUCCAACAGGAACCAUCGAAAGAAACUGCCAUUGUCGAGGACAAUGUAGCACCUGAAAAAGGGAAUGGUGAACAGGGAAAAUCUGGUGACAGUAUAGAGCAACCAUCCAAAGAUGCUACUGAACCAGGAUCUGUGGAUAAGGGGGGUGUGGAUGGAGGUCAGAGUAAGGGUGGCUGCACUAUCAAAGAAGUGGUUGCUGUUAAGGCGAACGCUGGAACGGCGAAGGAUGUUGCCAAAAGUCCACCUCGUAGGUCAACAAGGGUGGGAGGUGCAGCCCGUGGAAAAACUUCAAAAGGCCUUGAUGAAAAGCUGGAGGUGCUUAAAAAAACAUAUGUUAGGAAAAGUAGGAAGAAGUAGUUCAAUAUGGUUGUAAAAUAAUUAAUAUUUUGUGAUAAACAGGUUGAUGAAACUGAGGUAGUAGAUGGCAAGGCAGCACGUUUGCCUCUGGGAAGAAUUGA
This is a long non-coding RNA of Salvia miltiorrhiza (redroot sage), 467 nucleotides long. RefSeq lists it as uncharacterized. Lineage: Eukaryota; Viridiplantae; Streptophyta; Magnoliopsida; Lamiales; Lamiaceae. The record is from RefSeq and is a predicted model, not a curated record. The transcript is spliced from 4 exons.